RNAcentral lists this ribosomal RNA (520 nucleotides) under uncultured Glomus. RNAcentral's name for it is "SSU rRNA". It matches the Rfam family "Eukaryotic small subunit ribosomal RNA", at positions 569 to 1091 of the family's 1831-position model. Lineage: Eukaryota; Fungi; Glomeromycota; Glomeromycetes; Glomerales; Glomeraceae. The record is from RNAcentral.
AGCAGCCGCGGUAAUUCCAGCUCCAAUAGCGUAUAUUAAAGUUGUUGCAGUUAAAAAGCUCGUAGUUGAAUUUCGGGGUUAGUAGGUUGGUCAUGCCUCUGGUAUGUACUGGUCUCACUGAUUCCUCCCUCCUGAUGAACCUUAAUGCCAUUAAUUUGGUGUUUUGGGGAAUUUGGACUGUUACUUUGAAAAAAUUAGAGUGUUUAAAGCAAGCUAACGCUUGAAUACAUUAGCAUGGAAUAAUGAAAUAGGACGUUCGAUCCUAUUUUGUUGGUUUCUAGGAUUGACGUAAUGAUUAAUAGGGAUAGUUGGGGGCAUUAGUAUUCAAUUGUCAGAGGUGAAAAUUCUUGGAUUUAUUGAAGACUAACUACUGCGAAAGCAUUUGCCAAGGAUGUUUUCAUUAAUCAAGAACGAAAGUUAGGGAUCGAAGACGAUCAGAUACCGUCGUAGUCUUAACCAUAAACUAUGACCGUAUAGGGAUCGGAUGAUGUUAAUUUUUAUGACUNAUUCGGCGCCUUAC